GAAGGUAUGUUUGGUAGUGUAUGAUUGGUGGAAGGUAUGUUGGUAUUGUAUUAUUGGUGGAAGGUAUGUUGGUAGUGUAUGAUUGGUGGAAGGUAUGUUGGUAGUGUAUGAUUGGUGGAAGGUAUGUUGGUAGUGUAUGAUUGGUGGAAGGUAUGUUGGUGGUGUAUGAUUGGUGGAAGGUAUGUUGGUAUUGUAUUAUUGGUGGAAAUGUAUGUUGGUAGUGUAUGAUUGGUGGAAGGUAUGUUGGUAGUGUAUGAUUGGUGGAAGGUAUGUUGGUAGUGUAUGAUUGGUGGAAGGUAUGUUGGUAUUGUAUUAUUGGUGGAAAGUAUGUUUGUAGUGUAUGAUUGGUUGAAGGUAGGUUGUUAGUGUAUGAUUGGUGGAAGGUAUGUUGGUAGUGUAUGAUUGGUGGAAGUUAUGUUGG
RNAcentral lists this long non-coding RNA (421 nucleotides) under Mytilus galloprovincialis (Mediterranean mussel). The record is from RNAcentral. Lineage: Eukaryota; Metazoa; Mollusca; Bivalvia; Mytilida; Mytilidae.